AGCUUGUAAACAAAUCGGGUUUUCGUGUUUUCGGUUUUUGCUCUAAUUUUCGCGGUCGCGGUCGCAGAUAAGUGAGAUUCUGGCGCGGAUUGGCAAUGAGCAGCGGCGCCGCCGGCUGCAAGCGCGUGCACAGCAUCGAAGUUGAGCAGCCGCUGGAGGCGGAGCGCGUGCAGCACGGUUUGCUGUUGGUCAAGGGGCGUCUGCUGCCCAAGUGCGCGGCGGCGCGCCAACUGAGGGCCACUCUCGACAGGUCGCUGGAACAGCUGACCCAGCUCUCGGCGGCCGGCGAAUUUAAGUUGCUGUUUGACUUGGAGCGUGCCGCCCAAGGGAAUCCUGCAACAGAGACUGUCUGCCACUUGGAACUACGUUCCUGCAGCGCCGUCCGGGGAAUUAACUUCAGCUAUACUCCCCGAAGCAGCUCCUACAAAGUGCAACCGUUGUAUCUGCUGUGCAGCGACGAGCAAAAGCCGGAGGAACAGCAGCGAGAGGUGCACUCUCUCAUCGAUCUCAAUUUGCGCCUGGUGCAGUGCAUCUACGCACACAAACUGCUGGCAGCUGGCUUUCCAAAUCGCACCUUCACCCUAAACGGCGGCUGCUGCUCGUUCCGCAGCCAGCUGACCCAGGAACAGGCGCUGGCCAAGAGUGAGGACGAGCUGUGGCAGCAUUUCGCUGGCGAAAUCAUUGCCUGCCCGCAGUGGGGUCAUCAGAUACGGCUCAAGUUCGUGGCCUUUGUCGGCUGCACGCGAUACGACGGGGCCGGUGUGGCCGCCAGCGGUGACUCCUCCUACGCUAGCAUCCGACGGCAUCUCAGCGGACACGCAGCCCUAGGCGGUGGCGGUCUUGCGCUAUUUGGUAGCGCCCACUUUUACUCUUGGCCACGCAGCUUCUCGGAGAUUGGUGACUGUGUAAGUAGCACGGAACGUGUGGACGUGUCCCGACUGCCGGACGAGAGCAACUACAGGCGAACGUACGGCGGUGUGUAUGCCAGCACUUUGGGUGCCGUGUGCCACGAGUUGGGCCACUGCUUUGAUCUCGGCCACACCUCCGAGGGGGUGAUGGGUCAGGGAUUUGACUACCUAAACCGAGUCUUGACCGUGGAUCAGCCUACGGAACACCUGCCGCAGCGAAUCGUAGAGGCAGUAGGCGGCGGGGCAAAGAGAGCUGCUGGUGGUGGUGGUUCCAGUGCUGCAGGAAGAUUGGGAGCUGGAAAUGCUGGCAACGAGGGACCCCCAGCCAACCGUCCGCGCUUCACGAAACUGAAGCUGCAGGCAAGCAACCAACUUCUGGACAACUAUCACAACCAAAGGCGACACGACAGCUUCUAUUUCGCACGCAACUGUGCUGUGAUCUUGGCCAGCCAUCGCUGGCUCAAUCUGGACCUGGAGGAAACGUCGUCGGAGUACAUCGAGCCCGCUGACAUCCAGCUAAGCUGGCCCACCAAGGAGAUUGUGUCCAGCAGGCCCCUACGGCUGGUCGAACUGCGUUGCAAUCGCAACAGUUUGGUGGCCCACUACGAGGAGUUUGAGGUGGAUACUGUGAAUCGCUUCCAGCUGCCAGCAUCUCUGUGGCACCUCCUGGCGGAGCAGCGGACACAUUACGUAUUUGUACUGACCACCAGUGGCGAUACCAAACGACUUUCCUGUGAUUCCUUACCAUAAGGAGGAGCAGCCAGAGCAGGUUAUAAUUUCACUCUAUAAAAUUGAGUGCGAUAAAGCAACAUCUCCAGUUACUGUCUUCUAAUAUCCUUGGAAACGAGUCGGCGGCAGCAGUCUUCAGACGGAACGUAGCCUGAGCGGAGCGCACAUACAACAUCAGAACAU
Drosophila serrata is the source of this 1820-nucleotide unclassified non-coding RNA. The record is from RefSeq and is a predicted model, not a curated record. Lineage: Eukaryota; Metazoa; Arthropoda; Insecta; Diptera; Drosophilidae.